RNAcentral lists this ribosomal RNA (579 nucleotides) under uncultured bacterium. RNAcentral describes it as "partial 16S ribosomal RNA". It matches the Rfam family "Bacterial small subunit ribosomal RNA", at positions 338 to 916 of the family's 1533-position model. The record is from RNAcentral.
CCUACGGGAGGCAGCAGUAAGGAAUAUUGGUCAAUGGGCGCAAGCCUGAACCAGCCAUGCCGCGUGCAGGAUGACGGCCCUCUGGGUUGUAAACUGCUUUUAUACGGGAAGAACAGCAUCUACGUGUAGGUGUUUGACGGUACUGUAAGAAUAAGGACCGGCUAACUUCGUGCCAGCAGCCGCGGUAAUACGAAGGGUCCAAGCGUUAUCCGGAUUUAUUGGGUUUAAAGGGUGCGUAGGCGGCUUUUUAAGUCAGUGGUGAAAGCCUGAUGCUCAACAUCAGAACUGCCAUUGAUACUGAAGAGCUUGAGUACAGUUGAGGUUGGCGGAAUGUGUCAUGUAGCGGUGAAAUGCUUAGAUAUGACACAGAACACCGAUUGCGAAGGCAGCUAGCUAAGCUGUUACUGACGCUGAUGCACGAAAGCGUGGGGAGCAAACAGGAUUAGAUACCCUGGUAGUCCACGCCCUAAACGUUGAUAACUCGUUGUUAGCGAUAUACUGUUAGCGACCAAGCGAAAGCAUUAAGUUAUCCACCUGGGAAGUACGGUCGCAAGAUUGAAACCUUAAAGGAAUUGACGG